RNAcentral lists this ribosomal RNA (426 nucleotides) under uncultured bacterium. RNAcentral describes it as "bacterial SSU rRNA". It matches the Rfam family "Bacterial small subunit ribosomal RNA", at positions 356 to 773 of the family's 1533-position model. The record is from RNAcentral.
GGGGAAUAUUGGACAAUGGGCGAAAGCCUGAUCCAGCCAUGCCGCGUGUGUGAAGAAGGCCUUUUGGUUGUAAAGCACUUUAAGCGAGGAGGAGGCUACUUGGAUUAAUACUCUAGGAUAGUGGACGUUACUCGCAGAAUAAGCACCGGCUAACUCUGUGCCAGCAGCCGCGGUAAUACAGAGGGUGCGAGCGUUAAUCGGAUUUACUGGGCGUAAAGCGUGCGUAGGCGGCUUUUUAAGUCGGAUGUGAAAUCCCUGAGCUUAACUUAGGAAUUGCAUUCGAUACUGGGAAGCUAGAGUAUGGGAGAGGAUGGUAGAAUUCCAGGUGUAGCGGUGAAAUGCGUAGAGAUCUGGAGGAAUACCGAUGGCGAAGGCAGCCAUCUGGCCUAAUACUGACGCUGAGGUACGAAAGCAUGGGGAGCAAAC